Molecule: long non-coding RNA, 443 nt
Filed under: Drosophila guanche
Lineage: Eukaryota; Metazoa; Arthropoda; Insecta; Diptera; Drosophilidae
Source: RNAcentral
AGAAAUCCUCACUGUCAUUCUGCCUGCAACAAUCAUCAAAAUAAUGAUCAUCUUUGCGAAACUAUCUUUAAAUUUAGUGCAACCCUCUGUGAGUGGAACCCUAAACCCAAAAAGCUGUUACAACUUUCUGCUCUGCCAAAAAACGCUUCAACAAUGCGCUGGAUGAUCAUCUUUGCAAAAAUAUCUGUCAAUUUGAGACACCCCUCAAAGGAAGAUGCUCUCUCCCUUGCGCUUCGAUUUCGCACAUUCAAAUUUCACAUUAAUUUGAAUUUGGUUUUUUGGCAUGCAAAAAGGGUUUAGGCAUUUUUACAUAGUUGAUUGCAUCUUCAAUAGGCGAUCAAUAUUGUCUUUUGUGCUUAGGAUGAUGCGAGCAGCAGCAGCAACAGAAUUUCCAUGGGAAAGAAAAAUCUCUGCGUAACCCCUUCCUGCGUGGAAUGAUGGCC